This 522-nucleotide ribosomal RNA is filed under the name uncultured fungus. RNAcentral describes it as "SSU rRNA". It matches the Rfam family "Eukaryotic small subunit ribosomal RNA", at positions 569 to 1092 of the family's 1831-position model. Lineage: Eukaryota; Fungi. The record is from RNAcentral.
AGCAGCCGCGGUAAUUCCAGCUCCAAUAGCGUAUAUUAAAGUUGUUGCAGUUAAAAAGCUCGUAGUUGAAUUUCGGGGUCAGCAGGUUGGUCGUGCCACUGGUAUGAACUGGCCUUGCUGAUUCCUCCUUCUUGAAGAACCGUGAUGCCAUUAAUUUGGUGUUGCGGGGAAACAGGACUGUUACUUUGAAAAAAUUAGAGUGUUUAAAGCAGGCUAACGCUUGAAUACAUUAGCAUGGAAUAAUAAAAUAGGACGUUUGAUCCUAUUUUGUUGGUUUCUAGGGUUGACGUAAUGAUUAAUAGGGAUAGUUGGGGGCAUUAGUAUUCAAUUGUCAGAGGUGAAAUUCUUGGAUUUAUUGAAGACUAACUACUGCGAAAGCAUUUGCCAAGGAUGUUUUCAUUAAUCAAGAACGAAAGUUAGGGGAUCGAAGACGAUCAGAUACCGUCGUAGUCUUAACCAUAAACUAUGCCGACUAGGGAUCGGAUGAUGUUAAUUUUUUAAUGACUCAUUCGGCGCCUUACG